Molecule: ribosomal RNA, 497 nt
Filed under: uncultured bacterium
Lineage: Bacteria
Description: partial 16S ribosomal RNA
Rfam family: Bacterial small subunit ribosomal RNA
Source: RNAcentral
GAUGAACGCUGGCGGCGUGCCUAAUACAUGCAAGUCGAGCGAACAGACGAGGAGCUUGCUCCUCUGACGUUAGAGGCGGACGGGAGAGUAACACGUGGAUAACCUACCUAUAAGAUUGGGAUAACUUCGGGAAACCGGAGCUAAUAACGGAUAAUAUAUUCAACCGCAUGGUUCAAUAGCGAAAGACGGUUUUGCUGUCACUUAUAGAUGGAUCCGCGCCGCAUUAGCUAGUUGGUAAGGUAACGGCUUACCAAGGCAACGAUGCGUAGCCGACCUGAGAGGGUGAACGGCCACACUGGAAGUGAGACACGGUCCAGACUCCUACGGGAGGCAGCGGUAGGGAAUCUUCCGCAAUGGGCGAAAGCCUGCCGGAGCAACGCCGCGUGAGUGAUGAAGGUCUUCGGAUCGUAAAACUCUGUUAUUAUGGAAGAACAAAUGUGUAAGUAACUAUGCACGUCUUGACGGUACCUAAUCAGAAAGCCACGGCUAACUACGUG